This 460-nucleotide ribosomal RNA is filed under the name uncultured bacterium. RNAcentral's name for it is "partial 16S ribosomal RNA". It matches the Rfam family "Bacterial small subunit ribosomal RNA", at positions 338 to 795 of the family's 1533-position model. The record is from RNAcentral.
CCUACGGGGUGCAGCAGUGAGGAAUAUUGGUCAAUGGCCGGAAGGCUGAACCAGCCAUGCCGCGUGAAGGUCAGUGCCCUAUGGGCGUUAAACUUCUUUUGUGCGGGAGCAAUAAUGGUCACGUGUGGCCAGACGAGAGUACCGUACGAAUAAGCAUCGGCUAACUCCGUGCCAGCAGCCGCGGUAAUACGGGGGAUGCAAGCGUUAUCCGGAUUUAUUGGGUUUAAAGGGUGCGUAGGCUGUGCGGUAAGUCAGCGGUGAAAUGCCCCCGCUCAACGGGGUGAAGUGCCAUUGAUACUGCCUGGCUGGAAUGCGGAUGCCGUGGGAGGAAUGUGUGGUGUAGCGGUGAAAUGCAUAGAUAUCACACAGAACACCGAUUGCGAAGGCAUCUCACGAAGCCGCGAUUGACGCUGAUGCACGAAAGCGUGGGUAUCAAACAGGAUUAGAUACCCCUGUAGUC